RNAcentral lists this ribosomal RNA (2019 nucleotides) under Schizosaccharomyces japonicus. Its description in RNAcentral is "small subunit ribosomal RNA". The stretch from base 587 to 2001 matches the Rfam family "Bacterial small subunit ribosomal RNA". Lineage: Eukaryota; Fungi; Ascomycota; Schizosaccharomycetes; Schizosaccharomycetales; Schizosaccharomycetaceae. The record is from RNAcentral.
AUAUUAAAGAGUUUGAUGUUAGCUCAGUUUAACAUUAGCUAGGCAAUUAACACAUGCUUAUGAAUAUUGAUAAUUUUAAUUAUCAUUAUUUGUGUGAAGGUGAGUAAAAAAUUAGUAAUACCCUAAUAAAAAUUAAUUGAAGAUAUUCAAGAAUAAUGAGAAAAUGAUUAUUAGUAAUCAUUUGUAAAAAGAAUAAUCAGUGUAGCUGAUUAUUUAAGAUAAUUAUUCUCUAAUUGAAUCUUUAGGAUUCUGUAAUGUACCCAAAUGGGUAACUAUAAACUUACAUAAAGUAAGAUUAAUGAUUAAUUGAAAGAUUAAUCAUUAAGUAAAAGCAAUGAAUAGAUAUCUAUAGGAUAUCUAUCAUAAUUAAUGAAUUAUCAAAUAGAUUAAAUAUUUAAUAGAGUUGAUCAUGUGUAACAUGAUCUUAAGAUUGGAAGUGUAUUUUUAUCUUAUCUUAUCUUAAAAUAAUCGAUAGAUUAUUAACUAAUUUAAAGGAUUUACUAAUUAGCAAAGAGGUUGUUGAGAGAAUUAAAUUAUAGAUUUGUGAUAAAAUUAUAAUUUAUGGGACUACAAGCCGUUAUUAUUUGUAAUCAACAAUUUGAAAGGAUUGUAUCACAUUGGUGUUAAAAGAAACCAAAAUGAAUAAAAUUCAUUCAGCAGUGUAGAGAAUUGGUCAAUGUUUAAAAAGAAUGAACCAGUGACCUAGCAUGACGAAUACAAAAUGUAAAGUCAAAUAAAAAAAGAAAGGAUAACAAAAUAAUCUCAGCCAAUAUAUCGUGCCAGCAGCUGCGGUUAUACGAAAGAGAUGAAUGUUAAACAUCAUUAUUAGGUUUAAAGGAUACGCAGAUGGUUAAAUAAAAUAACAAAGUAUAACUUAUUAUUUAAUAAAUAUUAACUAGAGUAUAAUAGAAGAUUAUAGAAAAUAAAAGGAGAGAUGAAAUUCAAUGAUCUUUAUUUAACUGCUUAAAGUGAAAACAAUAAUCUUACUUUAUACUGACAUUAAGGUAUGUAAGCUAAAUUUAACAAAUAGGAUUAGAUACCCUAGUAGUUUUAGCCGUAAACGAUAAUUGUUAGAAAUUAGAUAAAUAAAAAAGAGAAGCUUAUGAAUUAUUAAUAAUAAUGAAAAGUCAAUCUUACUUAAUUCAAUUCUAAUUAAUUAGUAAUUAGAUAACAAAGCUUAAACAUUAGUAUAACUAAUGUGUAAUAAAUUUUAUUGAAAGAAAUUCUGAUUAAUUAGUAAUCUAUUUAGAUUUUUAUUAUUUCUAUUUAGAUUUUUAUUAUUUCUAUUUAGUUUCUAUCCGAAAGGAUUAAACAAUUCACCUGGUUAGUAAUUUCGCAAGAUUGAAACCCAAAACAUUAGACGGUUCUAGAAACUAGCAGUGAAUCAUGUUAUUUAAUUCGAUAAUCCACGUAAAAUCUUACCUUUAUUAAAAAAAAUUAAUUUUAAUUUUUUGGUAUCGCAUGGCUGUCUUUAGUUUGUGUUGUAAAAUGCUUGGUUAAUUCCUAUAACAAACGCAAACCUUUAAAUAAUUAUUUGCUUAAAUUCUAAUAGUUAUUAUCUUUAUUUUAUUAUUAUACUAGAUCUCUUAUAUUUAUACAAAUAUCAUUAUGAUCUAUCUUUAUUAAUUAGUUUACUAAUUUUACAAUUUAAUAGUUUAGAUAUUCACUUGAAUUUACAAUUUUUAUUGAUUAAAAUACUAUUAGUAUUUUUUUAUAAGGACGAAGACAAGUCAAUAUGAUCUAAAUGUAAAGGGCUAUAGACGUGAUAUAAAAAGUUAUACAAUUUUAAAAUAACUUAAUGUUCUAAUAAUUAUCUGUUACUCGAUAAUUUGAAGGAGGAAUUGCUUAGUAAUCGUUAAUCACUAUGUAACGGUGAAAUUUUUAUCUAGAAUGUACUAACUACUCGUCAAGCGCGGAAAAUUUGUUCUUAUUGAAUUUUUAAUUCGUGUUAAGUCGAAAUAAGGUAGCUGUAGAGGAAUCUGUAGCUGAAUUAUUAUUAAAGGAAAAUAACCCCCCCCC